GACGAACGCUGGCGGCGUGCCUAACACAUGCAAGUCGAACGGAAAGGCCCUGCUUUUGUGGGGUGCUCGAGUGGCGAACGGGUGAGUAACACGUGAGUAACCUGCCCUUGACUUUGGGAUAACUUCAGGAAACUGGGGCUAAUACCGGAUAGGAGCUCCUGCUGCAUGGUGGGGGUUGGAAAGUUUCGGCGGUUGGGGAUGGACGGGCGGCUUAUCAGCUUGCUGGUGGGGUAGUGGCUUACCAAGGCUUUGACGGGUAGCCGGCAUGAGAGGGUGACCGGCCACAUUGGGACUGAGAUACGGCCCAGACUCCUACGGGAGGCAGCAGUGGGGAGUAUUGCACAAUGGGCGGAAGCCUGAUGCAGCAACGCCGCGUGCGGGAUGACGGCCUGCGGGUUGUAAACCGCUUUCGCCUGUGACGAAGCGUGAGUGACGGUAAUGGGUAAAGAAGCACCGGCUAACUACGUG
RNAcentral lists this ribosomal RNA (468 nucleotides) under uncultured bacterium. RNAcentral describes it as "partial 16S ribosomal RNA". It matches the Rfam family "Bacterial small subunit ribosomal RNA", at positions 28 to 507 of the family's 1533-position model. The record is from RNAcentral.